RNAcentral lists this unclassified non-coding RNA (2097 nucleotides) under Leishmania donovani. Its description in RNAcentral is "gene:LdHU3.35.1430(CDS-product:Rdx_family_putativ e)". Lineage: Eukaryota; Euglenozoa; Kinetoplastea; Trypanosomatida; Trypanosomatidae. The record is from RNAcentral.
GAUUCUCCUCGUCCGUGUAGAAGUGUUCCCUCCGCAGCAUCGACCACUACGCAGUAGCGUACUCUCCCCACGUUUUGCACAACAGCAGAACGCUCACCGCAGUCCGAACUCCACCCCCCCCCCCUGCCGCCGCCGCUCCGUUGAUAAGUCAGCAGCGCUCUUUUCUUUUCUCUCACUACCCCCUUUCUGUGCCUUCUUCGCCUCGCAGCCUAUUUGCGCUUUCUUUUCUCACACCCGUCUUUGUUAAUAUCGCACACAUCGCACCUGCCUCCACUCCGUUGUUUGGUGGUGGUGGUGGUGGUCUUCGUCACCUGCCUGUUAUUCCCUCCAGUGUGCACAACGUGCUUUGUCACGAGAGACUUCGCCAUCUUUCUUGCAGGUGCCUCUCUCUCCUUCGCGCACCCACGCCCUGGCCGCCUUCGCUUCCAUCAAGGCGAGCCGAGUAUUGAAAUUCGCAAUACCAAAAUAACGUAAAAAGGAUAUCGAGGCAAAUGGCACUCAUCCUCUCUCCCGCCCCAUCGUCACAGCGCAGUGGCACCAACUACGCGCGCACUGUGCUGCUGGUUCUGGCGAGCCUUGCUCUUGUCGCCCUCCUGUUUGGCGGUGGAAGCGAAGGCAGCAACUACGGCAACUUCAUCAGCAUGGUUGGUCACCCGCGGCGGAGUGGUAUGGUGCUCCCUGCCAUGGCAACUGCGGUGCCAAGCGAGGCACCAAGUGCUGAUGGACAGCACGCUGGCGACGUUGUCGACGCUGCUGAGCCCGCCGAGUGUGCUAUGCCCGAAGCUGGUGAGGCGCACCCGAUGAAUGAGCAGUACGACUAUAAGGACGAGGAGGAAGCAGAUGCGGUGGUGGCGGCGACGGCAACCGGUGCAGACGCCUCAGCCAAGUCGCCGACCGCUCACCUUGACGGGCUGAGCGUCGAGGAACUGACGGCGUUGUUGGUAGAGAAGAAAAAGGGAUGGGUGAACCUGAAUCGCUUUAAGGACCGCGAGGCGCUCGUCCAAGCCAUCUUUGGUAUGGAGCAGAAGGAGGCGGCGCAGAUCGCGUUCCGCGCAGAGGUCGCCGCUGCCGCACGCUGGUAUGCGGAGCACCAAUCGCAGUUCAAAGCAGCUCAUCACCGGCCCAAGGGUAGCCGCACUCGCGGCGACAGCGCCGAACCGGCAGCCGCUGGCGGCUCCGACAUCGACGAGGCACAGCACGAGGUGCUCGUCCUCUACAACCAAGCCAACGGUUACGAUUCGAAGUUUGAGGUGCUUCGCAAGGAGCUGCAAGAAUCGGAAGCAGUGAGUCUGCCGAACCUGGCUGACUUUAAAAUCAUUGGGCAGGCGUACCCGAUGAGUCCCAGGCGAGUCCUGAUCAGCAAGGCGUUACAGGGGGCUUUCUUCGGCACGCUAGGGCUUGCCCUUAUGGGGGAUCAGCUGAAGUUCAUCCCGGAGUCGGUGCUCGCUGUUCUGCGCGCACGUCGUGGCCUCAUCACCAGCACCGGCUUCAUGCUCAACGUGCUGAGUCGAGCGGCGCUGCAGAACAAUGCCUUCGAGGUGUUUUUGGACGGCGAACUCAUCUACUCCGCCCUGAACGCGAGUGGGCGAGUGCCGACAGCAGAGCUGUUGAGCAACCUCCUCCUCGAGCGAACGCUCUUGAAGGACUACUACGCAGCUAAGAAGACAGCGAGAGCGUAGGUGCUCGUCGACGCGGAGCCAGCGGAAACGGCGGCGGGGACGAACUCGCCCACCCCACAGGCACAAAAAGAAGUCAAGAGCGUUGAAAGCGCUCGAGCGAAGCGAGAAAGUACAGAAUGGCGAAGGCGUCAGAGCAGCAAUGAAAAGGUGUUGGACGAGAAAAGAGAUGCGGGGGUAUCGGACAAGGCAUUGCGGGCUCUCCACUCGGUCGCAUUCCUUAUGCCUCUGCGGCCCCUCUGCCUGAGCAUCGGGGCGCACGCCUCUCCACGCUCGCGCACAUUGCUCUCACGGCUCCAGCGACACUUGUCGCUUGCUCUCUUCUCACCUUCCCUCCUUCCCACACCAUGCCCGCUCCCACUCAUUUAACCAUCUGCAUCGCCUCGUUGCUUGACCUCUUAUCUACGACACUCCUGUGCAC